CCCAGACAGCCAGGAUGUUGGCUUAGAAGCAGCCAUCAUUUAAAGAAAGCGUAAUAGCUCACUGGUCGAGUCGGCCUGCGCGGAAGAUGUAACGGGGCUAAACCAUGCACCGAAGCUGCGGCAGCGACACUGUGUGUUGUUGGGUAGGGGAGCGUUCUGUAAGCCUGUGAAGGUGUGUCGUGAGGCAUGCUGGAGGUAUCAGAAGUGCGAAUGCUGACAUAAGUAACGAUAAAGCGGGUGAAAAGCCCGCUCGCCGGAAGACCAAGGGUUCCUGUCCAACGUUAAUCGGGGCAGGGUGAGUCGACCCCUAAGGCGAGGCCGAAAGGCGUAGUCGAUGGGAAACGGGUUAAUAUUCCCGUACUUGGUGUUACUGCGAAGGGGGGACGGAGAAGGCUAUGUUGGCCGGGCGACGGUUGUCCCGGUUUAAGCGUGUAGGUGUGUGUUCCAGGUAAAUCCGGUUCACUUUAACACUGAGGCGUGAUGACGAGGCACUACGGUGCUGAAGCAACAAAUGCCCUGCUUCCAGGAAAAGCCUCUAAGCAUCAGGUAACAUCAAAUCGUACCCCAAACCGACACAGGUGGUCAGGUAGAGAAUAC
RNAcentral lists this ribosomal RNA (597 nucleotides) under Salmonella enterica subsp. enterica serovar Anatum. RNAcentral describes it as "partial 23S ribosomal RNA". It matches the Rfam family "Bacterial large subunit ribosomal RNA", at positions 1084 to 1681 of the family's 2925-position model. Lineage: Bacteria; Pseudomonadati; Pseudomonadota; Gammaproteobacteria; Enterobacterales; Enterobacteriaceae. The record is from RNAcentral.